Oncorhynchus tshawytscha (Chinook salmon) is the source of this 1800-nucleotide long non-coding RNA. Lineage: Eukaryota; Metazoa; Chordata; Actinopteri; Salmoniformes; Salmonidae. The record is from Ensembl.
GAUCGAAUUACACCUGCUCUAAUGGAAAAAAGGUGGAGCGCAGCAUAAGACCAACAGACGUCCUAAUAAUGUGCAGUCUGCUGACACUGGAUGACUGGAAACAGCAGAGAUGAAGGAGCUAUGGGUUAUGGCUGUCUUUGCUACAGUCUCUUUAUCACAGGGGGAUCUCACCACAUCAUCUGCCAUUCCAACCACCAUUGACAUAACUACCCCAACUACUGAUGUCCUUUUAAACCCUGACCCUCCAGCUAGUCCCCCACGAACUACCUACACUCCAACUACCGGCACUCCAACUACUUACACUCCAACUACUGCUGCCCCUUUAACACCUGACCCUCCAACUACUGACUCUCCAGCUACCGACACUCCAGCAGCCGACAAUCCAGCAACCGACAGUCCAGCAACCGGCACUCCAAUUACAUACCCUCCAACUACCGAGAAUCCAACUACUGACACUCCAGCAACCGACACUCCACCAACCGACCCUAAAACUACUGAUCUUCCAACUACCGACUCUUCAACUACCGAAUGUCCAACUACUGAUACUCCAACUACCGACUUUCCAACUACCGACACUCCAACUAUCGAUACUCCAACUACCGACUCUCCAACAACCGACACACCAACUACCGGCACGCCAACGACCGACACUCAAGCUACAGUCACUAAAACUACCGACUGUCCAACUACUGACUGUCCAACAACCUACACAUCAACAUCUGACACUACAGCUACUGAAACUCCAGCAACCGACACUAAAACUACUGAUCCUCCAACUACCAACCUUCCAACUACCGACCUUCUCACUACCGACCCUCCAGCUUACGAAAUAUCAUUAAACUACACUCCAAAUACCAACUUACCAACUACCCACUACCCAACUACCGACUUUCCAACAACGGACACUCCAGAAACCGGCACUCCAGCAACCGACCUACAAGCAACCGACCUUCCAGCAACAGACUUUCCAACUUCCGAUACUACAGCUACCAACACUCCAGCAGCCGACACUCCAGCAACCGACACUCCACCAACCGACACUCCAACAACCGAAACGCCCACUAUCGACACUCCAACUACUGAAUGUCCACCUACUGACACUCCAAUUACCGACUCUCCAACCACCGACACUCCAGCUACAGUCACUAAAACUACCAACUGUCCAACUACCAACUUUCCAACAACUGACACUCCAGCAACCGACACACAAGCAACCGACACUCCAACUACCGAAACGCCAACUGCCAACACUCCAACUACGGAAUGUCCAACUACUGACACUCCAAUUACCGACUUUCCAACUACCAACACUCCAACUAUCGAUACUCCAACUACCGACUCUCCAACUACCGACUGUCCAACUACCGACUGUCCAACUACAGACCCUCCAAAUACCGACACUCCAACAACAGGCACGCUAUCAACCGGCACGCCAACAACCGACACGUCAAUAUCUGACACUACAUCUACCAACACUCCAGCAACCAACACUCCAGCAAUGGACAUUCCAACUACCGAUGCUCCAACUACUGACACACCAACUACUGGCUGUCCAACUACUGACUGUCCAACUACCGACUUCACAACUACCGACACUCCAAAUACCGGCACGCCACCGACAUCUGACACGCUAACAACCGACAUGCCAACAACCGAGACGCCAACAACUGACAUUCCAACUACCGACAUUUCAACUACUGAACAUACUUCACUUCCAUACACAAUAGUGUGUGGACCAAUUACCACUCCCCCCAUCACCUCUCCCACCACCACCUUUCCCACCACCACCUUUCCCACCAC